UACGAAGGGGGCUAGCGUUGUUCGGAAUCACUGGGCGUAAAGGGCGCGUAGGCGGCUGUUCAAGUCGGGGGUGAAAGCCUGUGGCUCAACCACAGAAUUGCCUUCGAUACUGGACGGCUGGAGACCGGAAGAGGUCAGUGGAACUGCGAGUGUAGAGGUGAAAUUCGUAGAUAUUCGCAAGAACACCAGUGGCGAAGGCGGCUCACUGGCCCGAUACUGACGCUGAGGCACGAAAGCGUGGGGAGCAAACAGG
RNAcentral lists this ribosomal RNA (253 nucleotides) under uncultured bacterium. RNAcentral describes it as "partial 16S ribosomal RNA". It matches the Rfam family "Bacterial small subunit ribosomal RNA", at positions 524 to 776 of the family's 1533-position model. The record is from RNAcentral.